AGAGUUUGAUCCUGGCUCAGGAUGAACGCUAGCGGCAGGCUUAAUACAUGCAAGUCGAGGGGCAGCGCGGGUAGCAAUACCUGGCGGCGACCGGCGCACGGGUGCGUAACGCGUAUGUAAUCUACCUUUAACCGGGGAAUAGCCCAGAGAAAUCUGGAUUAAUGCCCUAUAGUAUUAUUGAAAGGCAUCUUUCGAUAAUUAAAGCUCAGGCGGUUUUAGAUGAACAUGCGUGUCAUUAGUUUGUUGGCGAGGUAACGGCUCACCAAGACUACGAUGACUAGGGGGUCUGAGAGGAUGAUCCCCCACACUGGUACUGAGACACGGACCAGACUCCUACGGGAGGCAGCAGUAAGGAAUAUUGGGCAAUGGAGGCAACUCUGACCCAGCCAUGCCGCGUGAAGGAUGACGGCCCUCGUGGUUGUAAACUUCUUUUGUACGGGAAUAACCCUCCGAACGUGUUCGGAGCUGAAGGUACCGUAAGAAUAAGGAUCGGCUAACUCCGUGCCAGCAGCCGCGGUAAUACGGAGGAUCCAAGCGUUAUCCGGAUUUACUGGGUUUAAAGGGUGCGUAGGCGGAUUGAUAAGUCAGUGGUGAAAGCCUACAGCUUAACUGUAGAACUGCCAUUGAUACUGCCAGUCUGGAGUAUGGUUGAGGUAGCUGGAAUGUGUCAUGUAGCGGUGAAAUGCUUAGAGAUGACACAGAACACCGACGGCGAAGGCAGGUUACCAACCCAUUACUGACGCUGAGGCACGAAAGCGUGGGGAGCAAACAGGAUUAGAUACCCUGGUAGUCCACGCCGU
RNAcentral lists this ribosomal RNA (800 nucleotides) under uncultured bacterium. Its description in RNAcentral is "bacterial SSU rRNA". It matches the Rfam family "Bacterial small subunit ribosomal RNA", at positions 8 to 803 of the family's 1533-position model. The record is from RNAcentral.